This 339-nucleotide ribosomal RNA is filed under the name Clostridioides difficile. RNAcentral describes it as "partial 23S ribosomal RNA". It matches the Rfam family "Bacterial large subunit ribosomal RNA", at positions 1024 to 1373 of the family's 2925-position model. The record is from RNAcentral. Lineage: Bacteria; Bacillati; Bacillota; Clostridia; Peptostreptococcales; Peptostreptococcaceae.
AGCCCAGAUCGUCAGCUAAGGUCCCUAAAUGUAAGUUAAGUGGUAAAGGAUGUGGGAUUGCACAGACAACCAGGAUGUUGGCUUAGAAGCAGCCACUCAUUCAAAGAGUGCGUAAUAGCUCACUGGUCGAGUGAUCCUGCGCCGAAGAUUUCCGGGGCUAAAACUUACUACCGAAGCUACGGCAUCAUUAUGAUGGGUAGGGGAGCUUCCCAUACGGGUUGAAGCAUGACCGUAAGGACAUGUGGACAGUAUGGGAGUGAGAAUGUUGGCAUGAGUAGCGAGAUGUGGGUGAGAAUCCCACAGGCCGUAAACCCAAGGGUCCAGGGAAGGUUCGUCCGC